GUGGGGAAUAUUGCACAAUGGGCGCAAGCCUGAUGCAGCGACGCCGCGUGAGGGAUGAAGGCCUUCGGGUUGUAAACCUCUUUCGUCAGGGAACAAGGCACUGCUUUUGGUGGUGUUGAGGGUACCUGGAUAAGAAGCGCCGGCUAACUACGUGCCAGCAGCCGCGGUAAUACGUAGGGCGCAAGCGUUGUCCGGAAUUAUUGGGCGUAAAGAGCUCGUAGGCGGCUGGUCGCGUCUGUCGUGAAAACUUCCGGCUCAACCGGGGGCUUGCGGUGGGUACGGGCCGGCUAGAGUGCGGUAGGGGUAACUGGAACUCCUGGUGUAGCGGUGGAAUGCGCAGAUAUCAGGAAGAACACCGAUGGCGAAGGCAGGUUACUGGGCCGUUACUGACGCUGAGGAGCGAAAGCGUGGGGAGCGAACAGGAUUAGAAACCCCGGUAGUCC
This 443-nucleotide ribosomal RNA is filed under the name uncultured bacterium. RNAcentral's name for it is "bacterial SSU rRNA". It matches the Rfam family "Bacterial small subunit ribosomal RNA", at positions 354 to 796 of the family's 1533-position model. The record is from RNAcentral.